This 496-nucleotide ribosomal RNA is filed under the name uncultured bacterium. RNAcentral describes it as "partial 16S ribosomal RNA". It matches the Rfam family "Bacterial small subunit ribosomal RNA", at positions 29 to 507 of the family's 1533-position model. The record is from RNAcentral.
AUGAACGCUGGCGGCGUGCCUCAUACAUGCCAGUCGCGCGAACAGACGAGGAGCUUGCUCCUCUGACGUUAGCGGCGGACGGGUGAGUAACACGUGGAUAACCUACCUAUAAGACUGGGAUAACUUCGGGAAACCGGAGCUAAUACCGGAUAAUAUAUUGAACCGCAUGGUUCAAUAGUGAAAGACGGUUUUGCUGUCACUUAUAGAUGGAUCCGCGCCGCAUUAGCUAGUUGGUAAGGUAACGGCUUACCAAGGCAACGAUGCGUAGCCGACCUGAGAGGGUGAUCGGCCACACUGGAACUGAGACACGGUCCAGACUCCUACGGGAGGCAGCAGUAGGGAAUCUUCCGCAAUGGGCGAAAGCCUGACGGAGCAACGCCGCGUGAGUGAUGAAGGUCUUCGGAUCGUAAAACUCUGUUAUUAGGGAAGAACAAAUGUGUAAGUAACUAUGCACGUCUUGACGGUACCUAAUCAGAAAGCCACGGCUAACUACGUG